This 541-nucleotide long non-coding RNA is filed under the name Ananas comosus (pineapple). RNAcentral's name for it is "long non-coding RNA (ACOM_LNC043734)". Lineage: Eukaryota; Viridiplantae; Streptophyta; Magnoliopsida; Poales; Bromeliaceae. The record is from RNAcentral.
AUACAUACAUACAUACAUACAUAUGAGUUAAGCUGAAUGCUAUCGGUAGCAAACGGACUCAUUUGCCACACAUUUGUUUUCGGUAAUGGAGCCUCCAAAUUGACUAUCAGUACUGUUAAACAUAAUCUAUACUACUUAAAAUAUCUAGAAACUAAAUUUUAAAUCUUUUUGACAUCAUUGACCAACUGAUCAAAGGGUUUCAAAAUUUUUAAUUUUAAUGGUCGAUAUGAGGCGUUUUCUCGUUUAACAGUGUAAAGAUAUAUCCAAAUCAAUUAAAUUUUGGUUAAAAAAUUCUUUAAACUAUUUAGAACAAGAUCUAUACUCUCAAUCUUGAUUACAAGAUUCCUAUCAUACUGACCGUCCCUAGAGCAAGUGGCAAAAGGCUUAGUGGCUAGUACCCGAGACCCAAGUUCAAUUCCUGGUUGAUUCACAUUUCUAGCUAAAUUUAUUUCUAAAUGAAAUAAACGAAGCGGGUAGCGUGCUACCUAUCUCUCAAAAAAAAAAAAAAGAUUCCUAUCAUUACUUUUUUAAAAAAUUCAUU